Long non-coding RNA from Vicia villosa (hairy vetch), 2966 nucleotides. RefSeq lists it as uncharacterized. NCBI's taxonomy places the organism in Eukaryota, Viridiplantae, Streptophyta, Magnoliopsida, Fabales, Fabaceae. The record is from RefSeq and is a predicted model, not a curated record. The transcript has 5 exons.
UAAAACAAAAUAAUCAACAAAGAAAAAGGAAAGAAGAAAACUACAGAGUAUCGUAGCUUUCAUGUAACGUGAAAAUGCCUUCUUCCCAUAAGCACUUAUGAGAAGUGCUUUUUCAUUCUAAAAAAAACACUUAUUUUCAAAAGCCAUUCUCUCUACUCUCCUUCAUCAUGAAACACUAACAAAUAAUCAACUAAUUGAUUCACUCCUAAAGAAGGAGAAGGAAUUACCGGCGAAAAAUAUUAUGACGGAGUGACGGGAUUCCGGCAGGGGGCGUUUCCGGCGGGACGUUCAGUUUGUGGAGGCGGGGAAAUCGAGAUUGAGAGGUGCAGCGGAGCUUUGAGGUAACCGUGGAGGUGCGCGGUGGAGUUCCAAGGUUGUUCUCGCGUUUCCGUCAACAAAUCCGAAUGGUUUAAAAGAGGAUGAAAGUCCAGAUGAAAAAACAUUGGGUGUGAGUUCAGAAGAUGGAAGACUUAGUUGAGCAUUAAUGGAGUUUACAAUGGAAAAACCUUCAAUCAAGUUGAAAUUAAACCUGAAGUCUAACAAUGGCAUAGCUUUUGCUUCAUCUGAAGCCUUUAUGAAUGCAGUUGCAACUGAGAGCCAACUCAAGCAUUCAAAUGAUUCACUACUUGUAUUCUCUUUGAUCUCUGUAGUUCUGAAUGUCCUACUAAUAAAGCUAUAUGGGUCAAUUGGCUUGAUCAUGGCAAAUUCUCUUAAUAUGACUUUGAGGAUUUUAUAUUCCACGAUGUACAUAAAGGAUUAAUUUAAGGUAUGAUAAUUGGCUUUGAUUCAGCUGACCAUAAAUUGAUGCAAAUAUUAACACUGACUUUCAUAUGUGAUGGGUUAUUCUGUUACUUUCAAGUGUAAUUACUCUCGUUUCUGAGAAUGUAGUUUUGGACCAAGAUAAUUUCCGGCCAACAUUUAUGAUCCAUUCCUCUGUUGGGAUGGCUUGCUUCUGCGUGUCAUCAUAUGUGAUGUAUAUUCACGUUUCCUUUUAUUUUGACUUCUAAGAUCUUCUGUUGAAUACAAUUGUUUAUUUUUCACUUUAUUUUUUGUUAACAUACUAUUAUUUUUUAUCUUUUAGCUACUGCCGGGAAAAACCUUUCACCAAGAAAAUUAUUCGCUUUCGUGACCACUCUGAAUGAUGAACUCUGUAAGUUAACUCUGAGUUCAUGUCUCGCAUAAGGUCGGACUCAUGGCACCGAACAUCAUCCAGUCGUCCCAUGUCGGCCCCGAAAUACAAAAGAUGUUAUGGGCAUGUUAUUUUCUCUCUGGUCAAAUCUCCUAUGUCGAUUAUGUUUUGGAACAUUCGUACCUUCAACAACCUAAAGAGGACUCUGAUGUCACAGUUAAAGGGGGAGUAUAGUCCCGGAGAAGAAAUCAAAAGGAUCUAGAGGCUUAGAACAAGGGUGUCGCUUAUGACCGAAGAGACAAUACGUUGGUGGGUUGAUGUGAAAACCGACCUUGAUACUGAACAAAAAAUGGAUGGAACAGAUGACAUUGUUUUAACCGUUGUAAUUUCUUAGAUUUUAAUUGUUUGUUGUGUUGUUGUUUUAGUCAUUGUGUUGUUUAUUCAAUUGUUGAUUUUAGUUGAAAUUUUAUUUCUAGUUAUUGUUUAUGUUAUUUGUCAUGUGUGUUGUAACUCAUCUGACUAAUGAAAAAAAAAGUCCAUUUCAUUGGUAAAAUAAAUUACAAAUAACAUUGAACCUAACAACUAUGUUGUGGAAUUAGAUCCACGAUUGGGACACUUGUUCUUAUUAUGUCCUACCUCACAACAUAUACUACACUUCCUUUGCAUUUUUUCAGUGGCGUCCAUUUCGGUUCUAAUACGCUUGCUGUUUGGUCUACCGCUUUUAUUCCGGCGCAUUAAAUCGUUGUGCCAAACUGUUUCCCCUUCGUACACAGGCCAAUAUGACUCUAUCGCUACCACCAGAAAGUAAUUGUCGUAUACGUUGAGCAACGUUGAUACCUUGUAAAUGGGUGAUACCAAUGAUAAUGCAUCAACGUGAUUAUGUGAGCAUACUGCAAUGACAUGUGAGCAAGGCAUGCGAUACGCUUAAAAUUGGCCAUGAAGGUCGAACUCUAUAACUCGAUGAGUGUUUCCCUUGGCAGAUUCCUGUUGUACAUAUUUCAUGCAGACAUCGUUGUAUACCUGUUAUGUUUGUAACACAGAAUUCCACCGCUUACCUCUUGUGGCGAACAAAGUUGCCAUCCGAAAAUAUGUUGCACUCACCAAAACCGUUACAGGUAGGUUUCAUAUGCCCUUGAAAAUGUCAUUCAUUGAUUCCACAAGAUUUGUAGUCAUGUGGCCCCACCUCGCCCCAUCGUCGUAUGACCUAGUCCAUCUCGCUCUGUCAAUGCUGUCAAUCCACCUCCCCGCAUCUGGGUUUGACAACGCUAUUUCACGGCGGUAGUAUUGAAAUCCAGGUUGGUUUAAGGCAUACCCCGCAUUCACCAAAUGGUUCUUCAAAAAGUUUUCUUUGAUCUCUCGCAUAAAAUUUUGUGCGAUAUGCCUAAUACAGUAAACAUGCGUAGACGGGGGGUCGUGCCAACAAAUGGAAAACCAGUGUUUGGAAAUGUCCAACAACCCAAUGCUCUAUGGGAGAAAAUGUUGGGUGUAGAUUUAAUUGAGGGUGAGGGCCGAGAAAGAGGGAGAGGCCAAGGUAUUAAGCUAUCGGCCCUUAAAGAACGUUAUGACGCAAUUACGUUGGACCAGUUUUCUAACGAAAAAGAAAAAAUAAGUAAAGCUAGAAUUUAUAUUAUGUUAUUAUUUGGUAAGUUUCUAUUUCCCAAAGGCACGGGGAAUAGUGUAAAUUUUAUGUACUUGUCUUUGCUUGAGGACAUUGAUGAAAUCAAGACGUAUAGUUGGGGUUCUGCGGUGUUGGCUUACCUCUGCAGCUAGGGGUGUGCAUGGAUCAAAAACCAAACCAAAUUGAACCAUAUAUAUGGUUUGGUUUGGAUUUUAAAAC